GAUGAACGCUAGCUACAGGCUUAACACAUGCAAGUCGAGGGGCAGCAUAAAUCUAGCAAUAGAUUUGAUGGCGACCGGCGCACGGGUGAGUAACACGUAUCCAACCUACCUAUUACUCGGGUAUUGCCUUUCAAAAGAAAGAUUAAUCCCCGAUACGAUAUUGAGUUCGCAUGAAUUUGAUAUGAAAGAUUUAUUGGUAUUAGAUGGGGAUGCGUUCCAUUAGUUUGUUGGUGAGGUAACGGCUCACCAAGUCUUCGAUGGAUAGGGGUUCUGAGAGGAAGGUCCCCCACACUGGAACUGAGACACGGUCCAGACUCCUACGGGAGGCAGCAGUGAGGAAUAUUGGUCAAUGGGCGAGAGCCUGAACCAGCCAAGUAGCGUGAGGGAUGACUGCCCUAUGGGUUGUAAACCUCUUUUAUAAGGGAAUAAAACGCUCCACGAGUGGAGCUUUGCAUGUACCUUUUGAAUAAGGAUCGGCUAACUCCGUGCCAGCAGCCGCAGUAA
This 504-nucleotide ribosomal RNA is filed under the name uncultured bacterium. RNAcentral's name for it is "partial 16S ribosomal RNA". It matches the Rfam family "Bacterial small subunit ribosomal RNA", at positions 28 to 523 of the family's 1533-position model. The record is from RNAcentral.